RNAcentral lists this transfer RNA (75 nucleotides) under bacterium. RNAcentral's name for it is "tRNA-Arg". It matches the Rfam family "tRNA". Rfam says of the family: Transfer RNA (tRNA) molecules are approximately 80 nucleotides in length. Their secondary structure includes four short double-helical elements and three loops (D, anti-codon, and T loops). The record is from RNAcentral.
GCCCUUGUAGUUCAAUGGAUAGAACAACCCCGUCCUAAGGGGUAGAUGUGGGUUCGACUCCUACCAGGGGCACAA